Molecule: non-coding RNA, 23 nt
Filed under: Arabidopsis thaliana (thale cress)
Lineage: Eukaryota; Viridiplantae; Streptophyta; Magnoliopsida; Brassicales; Brassicaceae
Source: RNAcentral
UAAUAUUUCGCGUUAUCUCAGAC